This 931-nucleotide long non-coding RNA is filed under the name Gadus morhua (Atlantic cod). RNAcentral's name for it is "lncRNA (ENSGMOG00000029741.1)". The record is from RNAcentral. Lineage: Eukaryota; Metazoa; Chordata; Actinopteri; Gadiformes; Gadidae.
GCAGUUUGACCGCAUCCUCAGCCUGAUAUAUGUUGACAGGAUUUUUUUUUUCAGCUCAUGGCAUGAGGGAAGGUUGCUGUCCAGACCCAUGGCCUCUCUUUCCUGCUGUGCCACUACAUUGGAACACUGCAUGAGGGAAUCACUCGUCUGAGAACGGAACAGCUGCUCCACGUUCUGCAGGAGAGUGAACACCUCAUCGGAUUGCCGGUUUAAUGCACCCCUUACAAAUUAUUUUAAUUCCAGGAAUACAGCUCUCUCACUUGCGGUAGUGGUGACUUUUUCCACCAGUGCACACUUGCAUUCAUCACAGAGUGAGAAGCCGAUAACCCUCUUCACUAUGUAUCCUGCUAGGUGGUAGAGGACACAGGACUCGGUCUUUGUCAUGUCAGGUGGUAAUGGGUCUACCAGCUGCUCCACUCUCACAACCUCAGAAGCACUGCAGCUGCUGUUCUGGGUUUCCAGGAAGUCCGCCAAGUGGUCUGAUGCAUCAUCCAGAUAACUGCCAAUCUUGCUGGACCUCCUGAAUUGUUCUUGUGGCCAUCACCAGUCCAGUCUGGACUGGUUUCCAGCUGCCCUGGGGACCGAUCUUCAGGCCCCGAAAAAGAUGGAUCGAGUCGCGGAGGAAGCUGAUGGCCUUUUCAUACUCUCCCAUCUUGAAAUGACUGAGGGCACAAACAACAUUGCGGGACGACAUGAGGUCAAACCAGUGGUCCAUCUUCUCCAAAAACCAUGACGUUGUAAGCUUGGCCACUGGUGGUAGCAACCACUUCCUCGUCACUGCUGCUCUCUUCAUUCCCCGGAACACCUUCACCGCCGUUGCCCACACUGCCUGCGUCUCCUUCAGCUUCCUCCUCCUCACUGUUGCUCCUCUCACCCUCAUCUGCAGGGAUCAGAAUAAGCCAAUAGAAAAUCUACCAGCCAACACCAAAAU